GGCAGGGUGGUGUAGUGGUUAGUGCAUUGGACUUGGACUGUGAAGACCAGAGUUUGAAUCCCUGCUCAGCCA
Molecule: transfer RNA, 72 nt
Filed under: Anolis carolinensis (green anole)
Lineage: Eukaryota; Metazoa; Chordata; Lepidosauria; Squamata; Anolidae
Rfam family: tRNA
About the family: Transfer RNA (tRNA) molecules are approximately 80 nucleotides in length. Their secondary structure includes four short double-helical elements and three loops (D, anti-codon, and T loops). Further hydrogen bonds mediate the characteristic L-shaped molecular structure. tRNAs have two regions of fundamental functional importance: the anti-codon, which is responsible for specific mRNA codon recognition, and the 3' end, to which the tRNAs corresponding amino acid is attached (by aminoacyl-tRNA synthetases). tRNAs cope with the degeneracy of the genetic code in two manners: having more than one tRNA (with a specific anti-codon) for a particular amino acid; and 'wobble' base-pairing, i.e. permitting non-standard base-pairing at the 3rd anti-codon position.
Source: Rfam by way of RNAcentral